AGUCCCCGGAGCUGCAGUCCGGGCUCCGGUCCCCAGCGUCGCCUACCGAUGGGGAGUGCGGACGGCGGACAGCGCGUCUUGAGGAGCCCUGGGCGCUGAAGGCACCCGCACAAGGCUCCUUAAGGAGGUGGAUUUGUAAGCGAAAGGCCCAGGUGUGAUGUGCAAAUAUCACCGGACUGCAGGAGCUCUCUUGGAAAGCCGGUGACAGGAUACCACAGCAAACUAUCAGAGCAGAAAUCCCUGUCCUCGUGGAGUCAGACAGUAAGCAAGUUUUCAGGGAGAGAACAAAAUCACGAGCAUCGAUAGGAAGAGGUGUCACGUGCGAAAGCUUGGGAAGGUAUGAGUCGUCACAGGAGGAGAAAAUUGGUCUUCCUGCAUCAAUGGAUAACUUGGCCAAUCCGACGCGAUGCUCCUUAAGUCCCCCACCGACCGACAGAGCCCGAGGUGUGUGUGCCUAGAUGCUGCUGGCCACCCACCUGCAGCCCUGCCUCCUGUUCCAUCACUGGGCUUCUGCCUCUUAGCUGAAUUCUGAGCGUGGUCUGCAAGGUCUUGUAUAGAUAGUCCAGCUCCGGCCUUAGAGCUCAUCCUUUCCCCUCCCACUUAAACACUCCAGCUGGCCUCUCGGUUCUUUCCAGACAAACAAGCUCUUCCCUCACCUGAGGCCCUUUUCUAAUCUUUUACGGUCCCCGUUUCAAAGCUAGGUGUCCGAGCAGCCCUGCAUACCUUCCUGACCUGGGUAGAGGCCCGUGCUGUGUUCCAUGUUAUCCUAUAUACUUAACGUACUUCAUUUAAAACUUUCUCUGCUUCCCCACUAGACUGAAAACUCCGAGAGCGGAGAAAACCCAUCUGUCCGUCUGUUCCAUAUCUUAUUUCCAUCUGUUUGUAGCUGUUGAUCUCCCCUCAGUAAACCUGCCGGUGGUGGUGGUAGUGGUGGUGUCAUGUUAACAUAAUAAUAGCUACUAUUUAUUGAGGAGGUAUUUAUGUAUCUCAUACUGUUAAAUGUUUUACCCAGAUUUCCUCUUUUUUUUUUUUUUUUCUACUUAAACCACAUAAGUGAUCUGAAGAGAGAGCGAAGGUGGACAGACAGGAAGCCAGGUUCAUUUAUGGAUCAACCAAUGCUAAUUCAGCACAUAUGAUGUGCCAAGCAUUGUUUUAGGUACAGGGGAUGCUGCAUGACAGAAAGCAGAGAAAAAUCUCUGCUC
Long non-coding RNA from Phacochoerus africanus (Common warthog), 1202 nucleotides. RefSeq lists it as uncharacterized. Lineage: Eukaryota; Metazoa; Chordata; Mammalia; Artiodactyla; Suidae. The transcript has 5 exons. The record is from RefSeq and is a predicted model, not a curated record.